Molecule: ribosomal RNA, 1211 nt
Filed under: metagenome
Description: SSU rRNA
Rfam family: Eukaryotic small subunit ribosomal RNA
Source: RNAcentral
AUUCAAAUCCUUUAACGAGGAUCUAGCGGAGGGCAAGUCUGGUGCCAGCAGCCGCGGUAAUUCCAGCUCCGCAGGUGUAUAUCUAUGCUGCUGCGGUUAAAAAGCUCGUAGUUGGAUCUGCGUGCUCGGAACUGGUUGGCUCACUGAGUUCAAACUGGUCUCCGGCGCUUUAUUGGCUGGUUUUCCCUUGAUGCUCUUAACCGGGUGUCUUGGGUGGCUAGCACGUUUACUUUGAAAAAAUUAGAGUGCUCAAUACAGGCGUAAAGCCUUGAAUAGUGGUGCAUGGAAUAAUAGAAUAGGACCUCGGCUCUAUUUUGUUGGUUUUCGGAACGCGAGGUAAUGAUUAAGAGGGACAGACGGGGGCAUUCGUAUUGCGACGUUAGAGGUGAAAUUCUUGGAUCGUCGCAAGACGGACGACUGCGAAAGCAUUUGCCAAGAAUGUUUUCAUUAAUCAAGAACGAAAGUUAGAGGUUCGAAGGCGAUCAGAUACCGCCCUAGUUCUAACCGUAAACGAUGCCAACUAGCGAUUCGCAGGCGUUAAACAACGACCUUGCGGGCAGCUUCCCGGAAACGAAAGUGUUCGGGUUCCGGGGGAAGUAUGGUUGCAAAGCUGAAACUUAAAGGAAUUGACGGAAGGGCACCACCAGGAGUGGAGCCUGCGGCUUAAUUUGACCCAACACGGGAAAACUCACCCGGCCCGGACACCGUAAGGAUUGACAGAUUGAGAGCUCUUUCUUGAUUCGGUGGGUGGUGGUGCAUGGCCGUUCUUAGUUGGUGGAGCGAUUUGUCUGGUUUAUUCCGAUAACGAACGAGACUCUGGCCUACUAAAUAGUGGGCGGAUUCUUUCUGUCCGCAACACUUCUUAGAGGGACAAGCGGUGUUCAGCCGCACGAGAUUGAGCAAUAACAGGUCUGUGAUGCCCUUAGAUGUCCGGGGCUGCACGCGCGCUACACUGAAGGAAUCAGCGUGCUUUCUGACCUUGCCCGAAAGGGCUGGGUAACCCGAUGAAAAUCCUUCGUGAUUGGGAUAGGGACUUGCAAUUAUUUCCCUUGAACGAGGAAUUCCCAGUAAGUGUGGGUCAUAAGCUCGCGUUGAUUACGUCCCUGCCCUUUGUACACACCGCCCGUCGCUGCCCGGAACUGAGCCGUUUCGAGAAGAACAGGGACCGUCGUUGAAGGGCCUUAACGGGCUUUUCUCUGAUAGAAACUGUU